Molecule: ribosomal RNA, 492 nt
Filed under: uncultured bacterium
Lineage: Bacteria
Description: partial 16S ribosomal RNA
Rfam family: Bacterial small subunit ribosomal RNA
Source: RNAcentral
AGUGAACGCUGGCGGUAGGCCUAGCACAUGCAAGUCGAACGGCAGCACAGUAAGAGCUUGCUCUUACGGGUGGCGAGUGGCGGACGGGUGAGGAAUACAUCGGAAUCUACUUUUUCGUGGGGGAUAACGUAGGGAAACUUACGCUAAUACCGCAUACGACCUACGGGUGAAAGCAGGGGAUCUUCGGACCUUGCGCGAUUGAAUGAGCCGAUGUCGGAUUAGCUAGUUGGCGGGGUAAAGGCCCACCAAGGCGACGAUCCGUAGCUGGUCUGAGAGGAUGAUCAGCCACACUGGAACUGAGACACGGUCCAGACUCCUACGGGAGGCAGCAGUGGGGAAUAUUGGACAAUGAGCGCAAGCCUGAUCCAGCCAUACCGCGUGUGUGAAGAAGGCCUUCGGGUUGUAAAGCCCUUUUGUUGGGAAAGAAAAGCAGCAGGUUAAUACCCCGCUGUUCUGACGGUACCCAAAGAAUAAGCACCGGCUAACUUCGUG